Molecule: non-coding RNA, 32 nt
Filed under: Prorocentrum micans
Lineage: Eukaryota; Dinophyceae; Prorocentrales; Prorocentraceae
Source: RNAcentral
AAACAAAAAAAAAAAAAAAAAAAAAAAAAAAA